Molecule: ribosomal RNA, 290 nt
Filed under: uncultured bacterium
Lineage: Bacteria
Description: partial 16S ribosomal RNA
Rfam family: Bacterial small subunit ribosomal RNA
Source: RNAcentral
GAUGAACGCUGGCGGCGUGCCUAAGAUAUGCAAGUCGAGCGGUAAGGUUCUCACUCUGUACUUAAAUUUUUGAGUAUGGUGUGAGAAUACACGAGCGGCGGACGGCUGAGUAACGCGUAGGAAUGUACCCCAAAGUGAGGAAUAAGCCCGGGAAACCGGGUCUAAUACCGCAUAAUCUCUUCGGAGGAAGGCCUUCGGGCGCUAUGGGAGCGGCCUGCGUAUGAUUAGCNGUUGGUGAGGUAAAGGCUCACCAAGGCGACGAUCAUUAGCUGGUCUGAGAGGAUGACCAG